GGGGAUUUCUCCCUUACUCAAGCAGCAAGGAGAUGGCCUAGGAGUGUCCCUGGCACCCAGCCUGAACCCUACUGAGCCUCAGGGCCAGGCACGGUGGCUCAAGGCUGUAAUCCCAGCACUGUGGGAGGCCGAGGCGGGCGGAUCACGAGGUCAGGAGAUCAAGACCAUCCUGGCUAACACGGUGAAACCCCAUCUCUACUAAGAAUACAAAAAAAUUAGCCAGGAGCUCAGCGUCUUCCUCAGCAGCACUUCCAUGUCAUCUGCCCCGUGAAAUCAGCCUAACGCCGUUUCUCAAUGACGCGGAUCGCCCUAGACCACCGCAACCUUCCGGAAGCUCUCUCAGCUCAGUUCCCAUUCUCCCACCAUCUCUUGGUUCUCCUUCUACCUCACCGGUUGCUAGUCCUCCGCUUCGCAGCUGAAAAUGUGCCCGGGGCCUACCGUGGGCCUAGCCAGGCCUGCUUACGCAGUGCAGUUUCCCAUGAAUAAUGCCCAGUCAUUAUCACAUAACCUGUGGCAAGCCAGCAAGAUGGCCCUGGUGACAGAAAAAGAAACUGCACUAGGACCUGAAUGUAGAUCUAAGUCAUGUUCCUUACUAACAGCACGUUUUACAACCACGCGUUAAAGAAACAUCUGACUCACAACAAAAUUUUAAAGGGUUUAUUUGAGUGAAAAGCAAUUUAUGAAUUGGGGAACACCUGACUGAAAGAGCUUUAGUAUUCCAGAGACAAAACAUCAAAUGCAAGUUUUUACUGGGAAAAUGUAGAAGCACAAUAAAGAAAUUAUUUGAUUGGUUACAGUUA
Long non-coding RNA from Pan troglodytes (chimpanzee), 800 nucleotides. RefSeq lists it as uncharacterized. Lineage: Eukaryota; Metazoa; Chordata; Mammalia; Primates; Hominidae. The transcript has 3 exons. The record is from RefSeq and is a predicted model, not a curated record.